This 1720-nucleotide long non-coding RNA is filed under the name Homo sapiens (human). Its description in RNAcentral is "HSALNT0409486". The record is from RNAcentral. Lineage: Eukaryota; Metazoa; Chordata; Mammalia; Primates; Hominidae.
ACUCUUCCUAACACUACCAACCUAUCUUGGGGAGUGCGGGAGGGUGGGGAACAUUAAAUCCUGGGCUCGGCCUCAGGCCGACAGAGCCGAAAGUGGCCUCGGGAACCUAUGCCUGUUAAAAAAAGAACUACAAGUCCCAGCAGGCUGAGCGGCUACGGCUCUCUGGACCUGCUCGGGAUUGGAGCGUAAUGCAACGUUCUAGGAAAGAGAGUAUUUCUUCUGGGUGUGGCCAACCCGGAUUUGUAGUUCCCAGGCCGGUGUUCCCGUAUGGUCUCACUCUGUCAUGCAUGAUGGACUGCAGUGGUGCAAUCAUGGCUCACUGUAGCUUCGACCACCCUGGCUCCGGUCAUCAUCCUACCUCAGCCUCCCAGGUAUGUGGGAUUACAGUGGUGUCAGUCAUCAACCUUGUGAUCACUGAGGAAAAGAUACAAUAAUCCUUGCCUAUCCGUGAGUUCUGUCUAUAUGUAUUCAACCAAGUUUAGAUUGAAAAUAUUUUGGGGAAAAAUGGAAGGGUGCACCUGUACUGAACAUGUUCCAACAUUUUCUUGUCAUUGUUACUUAAAUAAUACAGUAUAACAACUAUUUACAUAGCAUUUACACUGCUUUAGUAAUUAUAAAUAAUCUAGGGAUGAUUUAUUUAGAUAGUCUAGGAAUGAUUUAAAUAAUCGAGGAUGGUGAUAUAUGGGAGGAUGUACAUAGGUUAUACAUAAAUACUACACCAUUUUAUAUCAGGGUCUCAAACAUUCAUGUACUUUGGUAUCCAACAGGGAUUCUGGAAUCAAUCCUCCACAGAUAGCAAGGGAUAACUGUAUUAGUUUUUCUUUUCUACACUGUUUAAUGGAUGCUGCACCCUUCCUACUCUAGGACCCAACCAGGAUCCUGAGCCCUCACUUUCUCCCUGCGUUCCUCAUGAUCCAUUUGACUAUAAUGCAGAAAGUUUGUUUAGCUACUGGCUGGUAUCUGUAACUCCUAUGACAGCUCACACUCCUUGAAGAAGAAGAGAGAAAACAGAAGACUUGUCCUGUGGAUAGAUUAUUUCUUCUUCUGUUUGUUUGUUCUUUGUAUGCUCUCGACAACAUCCACAUACACAAAUGCACAUACAUAAACACAGAAACUUUUUCUUAACAUGGACAAUCUGAAAGAGAAAGCAGCACAACAACCAUUUUGGAUGAUCGAGACUAUUUUUAUAUUAUUACAGUACAAUUGCAGAAUGAAUUCAAAAGGGCAAGCCCCUAGCAAUGAUAAUGCUAAAUGGCUGGUGGAUGUAAAUAAUUAGUGGUCAAUAUAUUAUCCAUGAUAUGUGGCAAGUUUGAAAGUUGGAAAUGCAGAAUCCCUGUUCUGGUCAUAUUAUUGUACUUGGAUCUGCUGGGAACCAUUUGAUACUCUGGGAUUCUCAUUGAGAAUCCAGUGAUAGCUAAUGUUGAAUAUUGCUUGCUGCUGGGCAACAGUGACUGUCAAAACAUUCCGUCACCACUUUUUUUUUUCAGUUUAGAAAAAGGGUCUUGGAUGUUGCCUAGGCUGGCCGGAAACUCCUGAAGUCAAGUGAUUCUCCUGUCUUUGCCUUUAGUUCUGGAAGUACUGGGAGUGAACCUCUGCACCAGGAUUUCCCUCACCAUUUUCUGUAAAAUGGCUUACUACAAAGAACAUUUCUGUAGUAUAUUUUUAUGUAUGUAUGUAUUAUGUAUUUAUUUAUUUAUUUAUUUUUGAGACAGAGUCACAA